This 212-nucleotide unclassified non-coding RNA is filed under the name uncultured fungus. Its description in RNAcentral is "sequence contains ITS1, 5.8S rRNA gene". The stretch from base 164 to 212 matches the Rfam family "5.8S ribosomal RNA", at positions 1 to 49 of the family's 154-position model. The record is from RNAcentral. Lineage: Eukaryota; Fungi.
UUUCCGUAGGUGAACCUGCGGAAGGAUCAUUAGUGAUUUGGCCGAGAGGCCUUAUAACAAUAUCAUCCUCACACCUGUGAACAUGUUCGGGCUCGGUUGACGCCGGCCCGGAACCCUUUACAAACAUAUGUGUAAUGAACGUAUAUUAUCAUAACAAAAACAAAACUUUCAACAACGGAUCUCUUGGCUCUCGCAUCGAUGAAGAACGCAGC